UACGGAGGGUGCAAGCGUUAUCCGGAUUCACUGGGUUUAAAGGGUGCGCAGGCGGGAAAUUAAGUCAGUGGUGAAAGCCCCGAGCUCAACUUGGGAACUGCCAUUGAUACUGAUUUUCUUGAAUAUAGUUGAAGUAGGCGGAAUACAACAUGUAGCGGUGAAAUGCAUAGAUAUGUUGUAGAACACCAAUUGCGAAGGCAGCUUACUAAGCUAUCAUUGACGCUGAGGCACGAAAGCGUGGGGAGCGAAC
Molecule: ribosomal RNA, 250 nt
Filed under: uncultured archaeon
Lineage: Archaea
Description: partial 16S ribosomal RNA
Rfam family: Bacterial small subunit ribosomal RNA
Source: RNAcentral